CACGCCGUAAACGAUGAGUGCUAGGUGUUGGGGGUCAAACCUCGGUGCCGCAGCUAACGCAUUAAGCACUCCGCCUGGGGAGUACGUACGCAAGUAUGAAACUCAAAGGAAUUGACGGGG
This 120-nucleotide ribosomal RNA is filed under the name uncultured bacterium. RNAcentral's name for it is "partial 16S ribosomal RNA". It matches the Rfam family "Bacterial small subunit ribosomal RNA", at positions 796 to 918 of the family's 1533-position model. The record is from RNAcentral.